CCCCCGCCCCCAGCGUCCCGCGAGUUCCCGGAUGAGCGCGGCGCCCCGUUUCCCCAUGACAGCCGCCGGCUUUGUCUGCGGCCGGCCCGCACCCGUUCCCGCUCCCGCUCGAUACUCUCUUUCUUCCCCCGAGGCUUUGUCUCUGUCUCCUCCUCGCACUCCUCCCGCUUCGUGUCCCUGGGAAGACUCAGCCUCAGACACCAGCCACCCGACCCGGGCCGACUGCCCGGGACCCGGCAAACCCCGCUGACUGCGCAUUUGGGGAGGAUUGUCAAACCCAAAACAGAUCCACCCACUGAGGCGGCGGAGAAAAAGCGGUUCGGCGGGUGCAGCACUCAGGAAAUGAGGUGGCAAGCUAGACACACACCUACUUUGAGACAGGAAUUGUGUUGAAGAACUUCAUCACCCACCUGGUAUCCGCCAAGACAUAGCCCUUAGUGGAAUGAACUAUGGUCUCCUAAAGGCGGUUUCGUUUCAUGGGUCUGUGGAUCUGAGAGAAACAGGCGAUUGGCCCUCUCCCACGCAAGGAGAAGCAGCAAUGGACUGGGGCCUGCACCUGGGCAGGUGCACGUGGAGCUGGACGAUCCUGUGACAUCCUGGAAAAGCAGCGAGGAGUAUGGCAGAUCGUCUGCUCUGGAGUCAGCUGACUGCUCUGAAUCUUCGCUCUGUCACUCAGUCCUUGCAGGAGCUAUAUGAUCUGGGUCGGUUACUCAACUUCCUGAGGCUCGGUUUCCACCUGUGUGAAAUGGGGGUAAGAUGUCCACCUCAGAGGGUCAUUAAGAGGUUUAGACUGGUUAAUGCAUGGACAGCUUCUGGAGAAGGCAUUUUCCCAGGACCAGAGAAGAACUGGUGAGUGGAGUGCUUUGAAGGCACGUGAGGGAGGAUAACUACAGGCUGGGGCUCUGGGCGACCCUUCCCGAGGGAGAAGAAAAUGAAGUAGCUGUUAGUAGCAGGACGGAAAACAGGGUGCCUGGAUGCCAAGCAUCAUCAGGAACGUUGCCUGGGGUGGGAAAAAUGAAAUCUCAGAACACUCCUGCCUUCUUGACUACUGCUUUUCAUUUCUUAACUCUUUUUUUUUUUAAAUGAAGAUGGGAAGGUUUACAAUUUUGACAGUUCCAUUUAUUUCUACCAUUUUCAUCUAAAACAAUACAGUGAACAGAAAUUAUUCCACCCAGGGUUUCAACUGCAGCUGGAUAAAUGUCAGUAUUAAUUAAACAUGUUCUGUGUACUCUGUGUCGUCUCUUCUGUUCUCUGACUGCCUGUCCAUCUGUAUCUUUCUCUACCACCAACCACCAAACCACCCCUCUCUCCUUCUUCCUUCUCGUCCCUGGCAUUCAUCCUCACAGUGGGGCACAGGAAAAUACUCAAUAAAGACUCAGUUGAACUGCAGGGGCUGAACACAUGACUGGGAACCACGUGAAUGAAGCAGCCCAGAACAGCAAAUCCUCCCCCAGGACGGCACACAGAUGAUCCCAAAGAAGGAUACCUUCCAUUCCUGGGCUCACUGUCCACCGCCUCCACGCCACCCUCCCCCCCAGGUAGGAAAGCUGACCUGUCCCUGUUGGUGCCAAGCAGAGGAUGGAGGAUUGUGCACCCGAGCAAGGGGAAUGAGAUGACCCCCAAGCUCCAGUUCUCGCAGGGUUCCUCCUCAUGUGUCACUCACCCGGUGUAGCGGGGGCUCUCUGGACACCGAGAAAGCAAUACAAACUUUCUUUGCAUAAGCAUGGUCAAAUAUUUAUAUUUGUUUAGGAUUUUCUUCUAUAGGAUUUUUGUUUUGUAAUUCAAAUCUAUUUCCAAAAUAAAUCUGGAUCUCAUUUAUAAGUAAACAGUAAAAAAAAAAAAAAAAAAAGAAAA
Long non-coding RNA from Camelus dromedarius (Arabian camel), 1854 nucleotides. RefSeq lists it as uncharacterized. The record is from RefSeq and is a predicted model, not a curated record. NCBI's taxonomy places the organism in Eukaryota, Metazoa, Chordata, Mammalia, Artiodactyla, Camelidae. The transcript is spliced from 5 exons.